ACUAACAAGGAUUCCCCUAGUAACUGCGAGUGAAGCGGGAAAAGCUCAAAUUUAAAAUCUGGCGGUCAUUCUGGCCGUCCGAGUUGUAAUCUAGAGAAGUGUUAUCCGCGCUGGACCGUAUACAAGUCUCCUGGAAUGGGGCGUCAUAGAGGGUGAGAAUCCCGUCUUUGAUACGGACUGCCAGGGCUUAUGUGAUGCGCUCUCAAAGAGUCGAGUUGUUUGGGAAUGCAGCUCAAAAUGGGUGGUAAAUUCCAUCUAAAGCUAAAUAUUGGCGAGAGACCGAUAGCGAACAAGUACCGUGAGGGAAAGAUGAAAAGAACUUUGGAAAGAGAGUUAAACAGUACGUGAAAUUGUUGAAAGGGAAACGCUUGAAGUCAGUCGCGUUGGCCAGGGAUCAACCCCUUGGGGUGUACUUUCUGGUUUUACGGGUCAACAUCAGUUUUGAUUGUUGGAUAAAGGUUAUAGGGAAUGUGGCAUCUUCGGAUGUGUUAUAGCCCUUGGCCAUAUACAACAGUUGGGACUGAGGAACUCAGCAUGCUCGA
Molecule: ribosomal RNA, 542 nt
Filed under: Leucopaxillus giganteus
Lineage: Eukaryota; Fungi; Basidiomycota; Agaricomycetes; Agaricales; Tricholomataceae
Description: eukaryotic LSU rRNA
Rfam family: Eukaryotic large subunit ribosomal RNA
Source: RNAcentral